RNAcentral lists this ribosomal RNA (282 nucleotides) under Triticum aestivum (bread wheat). Its description in RNAcentral is "partial small subunit ribosomal RNA". The record is from RNAcentral. Lineage: Eukaryota; Viridiplantae; Streptophyta; Magnoliopsida; Poales; Poaceae.
AUGUUAAUUUGUUCCUUUGUGCUCCGAGUCUUCUUCCUCGACAGUACAUCAAUGAAGCAAUAGUUCAACAACCUGUCUUGCAAUGGAUGUGUCGCAAGCCACAAUUUGUUGAAUGAUAUUAGGUUCUCAUCUGUUGGAGUAGGUGGCACAUGUGACUCUUUUAAACCUUUGAGGUUAGCCUAGCUUGUGCAGGUUUGGUCUUCUUCGGUUUCUUCAUCACAUGGAUGGAGAAAAGUCGAGAUGAUAGAAGGAUCUGGGGUUAGCAACCACAAAGGAUGUUGA